UUCUUCCGCUGUCAAGCCCCCACCCACCUCUCCCCGAUUCCCAUCUCCCAACAGCAACCCACACCCUAGCGCGACCACCCUCCAUCCCCAUCCCCACAAGCACGGCGCUCCGGCGUGGCUCAGGCACCGGAUCCCGAGCGGCCGCGGCCCCCUGGCGCCCCUCUCCUCCUUCGUCUGCCCCUCGCGCCCCCAACCUUCCUCCAACGCUACCGGAAGCCGCGACCGCCUCCGAUGCGCCGCCGACCUGCCCCCCGCCGCCAGAGCACCUCCCUAGGCUGCCACCCGCCGCGCCACCCCAUCUCCUUCUGCCGUCGCCCCUGCCGCGCCGCCCCUCCCAUGCAUCGCUUCGCCCCACCCAGUUCCCUAGUGCGCCACCACUGCUCCCCGCAACCACCUGCUCGUCCUCUUCGGCGCAGCCCCCGCGAUCCUGGUGGCGCUCUGACGACUGGCCGUUCCUCUAUGGGCCAGAUCCGGUGAGAUUUUACCAAUCCCACACCUCCUCGAGCCAGAUCCGGUGAGAUCCACCGGCUCUUCCUCUCCAACGACGGCCCAAAAUCCACGGCCCUGGAGCUGCCUCGGGGUCCUCCUCUCCGGCUGGCCUCGUCGUCUCCUACCUCCGCUGGGAACGGGAUCCGCGCUCAUGUGCCCCCCAGCUUCUCUUCUGGCCAGGAAAAAUGGCCUCGAUCCGACGAUUCCUCCUCUCAUCGUCAUCCCCUUCUCUGUCAGUUGCCAUCCACCAUGGGGAGAGGGCAGAAACUCCCAGCACCAGUCUGUGUCAUUCGAGCGGUAAAGCCCCCUUGCAGUUUGUGACAUGUACGAGUGCAGUGCGUUAGUCGCGUUGGUGCAGCCCGCUGGCAUCCAGCAGGGGAUGCAGCUCUUCGGUGGGUGAAGUGCGGUCCACGACGAGCGCCAAUGCAGUGCUGUGCCCCACAGGAGGUGGCACCAUGGCCAUCUCAAUCUUGUCCCUGCGCCACACCAUGGAUCCCGUUCGAUAGCGAGCUCCCCGGCGACCAAGUGCUGCAGCCCACUUUUUUCUUUUUGCAAUUCGCAUGUUAAAGUUUCUUUUUGCAGUGUGUGUGAUGUUCGGUGUAAGCUCGAAUGAAGACACAGAUCAGUCCCCUAUGUUCUCUAAUGCAGAAAAAAGGAGGAAAAACCAAUUAUAGGAAAAGAAACAAAAGACUCGCUCUCCUGCAUGCACUUCGUUUAGAGUUUGAUUGAUGUCCUGUAUUGUGGGUCGUGGAGUUCGAUUGGGGCUCCCCUAGUAAAGUUCAUAAAAAAUUGUCCAUUGAGAUUUGCAGUGCAGUGCAUAGUAUAGAGGACUUUACUUUGUAAAAACUUCUAUAGAGGAGUUCACUUUUUUCUUAUUUUUGGAAGAAUUCUUUUGCAAAUUUGUAUGGACAUAGUUUAUAAUUUGUGAAAAAUCGGAUGUUGAAAGCA
Molecule: long non-coding RNA, 1437 nt
Organism: Triticum aestivum (bread wheat)
Lineage: Eukaryota; Viridiplantae; Streptophyta; Magnoliopsida; Poales; Poaceae
Exons: 2
Source: RefSeq, a predicted model, not a curated record